UUGUAGUAUCGCAUGAUAUAGCAAUUAAAGGAGCAAUCCGCUAUAAGAUGGACCCGCGUCGCAUUAGCUAGUUGGUGAGGUAAUGGCUCACCAAGGCGGACGAUGCGUAGCCGACCUGAGAGGGUGAUCGGCCACACUUGGGACUGAGACACGGCCCAGACUCCUACGGGAGGCAGCAUG
RNAcentral lists this ribosomal RNA (180 nucleotides) under uncultured bacterium. Its description in RNAcentral is "partial 16S ribosomal RNA". It matches the Rfam family "Bacterial small subunit ribosomal RNA", at positions 173 to 353 of the family's 1533-position model. The record is from RNAcentral.